AUUGAACGCUGGCGGCAUGCCUUACACAUGCAAGUCGAACGAAGAUGCCGGAGUGCUUGCACUUUGGCAGACUGAGUGGCGGACGGGUGAGUAACGCGUGGGUAACCUGCCUUAUACAGGGGGAUAACAGUUGGAAACGACUGCUAAUACCGCAUAAGCGCACGGUAUCGCAUGAUACAGUGUGAAAAACUCCGGUGGUAUAAGAUGGACCCGCGUCUGAUUAGCUGGUUGGUGAGGUAACGGCUCACCAAGGCGACGAUCAGUAGCCGGCCUGAGAGGGUGAACGGCCACAUUGGGACUGAGACACGGCCCAAACUCCUACGGGAGGCAGCAGUGGGGAAUAUUGCACAAUGGGGGAAACCCUGAUGCAGCGACGCCGCGUGAGUGAUGAAGUAUUUCGGUAUGUAAAACUCUAUCAGCAGGGAAGAUAAUGACGGUACCUGACUAAGAAGCACCGGCUAAAUACGUGCCAGCAGCCGCGGUAA
RNAcentral lists this ribosomal RNA (485 nucleotides) under uncultured bacterium. RNAcentral's name for it is "partial 16S ribosomal RNA". It matches the Rfam family "Bacterial small subunit ribosomal RNA", at positions 30 to 523 of the family's 1533-position model. The record is from RNAcentral.